UGGUCAAGUUAUUAAGGGUGCAGGGCGGAUGCCUUGGCACUAGGAGCCGAUGAAGGACGUGAUAAGCUGCGAUAAGCUUCGGGGAGUUGCACGUAAACUUUGAUCCGAAGAUUUCCGAAUGAGGAAACUCACUUAGAGUAAUGUCUAAGUAUCAUUAAGUGAAUACAUAGCUUAAUGAGGGGAACUCAGGGAACUGAAACAUCUAAGUACCUGAAGGAAGAGAAAGAAAUUCGAUUCCGUAAGUAGCGGCGAGCGAACGCGGAUUAGCCCAAACCAAUAAAGUUUUCUUUAUUGGGGUUGCGGACAUAUCAUAACGAAGAGGUAUCGUAAUUGAAGAGGUUUGGAAAGACCCACCACAGAAGGUAAUAGUCCUGUAUGUUAAACGAGAAGACUUUAGAUAUGAUCCAGAGUACCACGGGACACGUGAAACCCUGUGGGAAGCAGGAGGGACCACCCUCCAAGGCUAAAUACUACCUAGUGACCGAUAGCGUAUAGUACCGUGAGGGAAAGGUGAAAAGAACCCCGGGAGGGGAGUGAAAUAGAACCUGAAACCCUGCACUUACAAGCUGUGGAAGCACAUUUCUUGUGUGACCGCGUACUUUUUGUAGAACGGGCCAACGAGUUACGUUAAGUAGCAAGGUUAAGCACUUAAGGUGCGGAGCCGUAGCGAAAGCGAGUUUUAACUGAGCGUUCAGUUACUUGACGUAGACCCGAAACCGGGCGACCUACCCAUGAGCAGGAUGAAGCGAAAGUAAAAUUUCGUGGAGGUCCGAACCCACGAGCGUUGAAAAGCUCGGGGAUGACUUGUGGGUAGCGGUGAAAUUCCAAUCGAGCCCGGAGAUAGCUGGUUCUCCCCGAAAUAGCUUUAGGGCUAGCCUCAAGGGGAGAGAUACGGAGGUAGAGCACUGAAUGUCCUAGGGGGUAUUGCACCUACCGAAGACUAUCAAACUCCGAAUGCCGUCAUCUUAUACUUGGGAGUCAGACUGUGGGUGAUAAGAUUCAUAGUCGAAAGGGCAACAGCCCAGAUCGUCAGCUAAGGUCCCUAAAUGUAAGUUAAGUGGUAAAGGAUGUGGGAUUGCACAGACAACCAGGAUGUUGGCUUAGAAGCAGCCACUCAUUCAAAGAGUGCGUAAUAGCUCACUGGUCGAGUGAUCCUGCGCCGAAGAUUUCCGGGGCUAAAACUUACUACCGAAGCUACGGCAUCAGUAAUGAUGGGUAGGGGAGCUUCCCAUACGGGUUGAAGCAUGACCGUAAGGACAUGUGGACAGUAUGGGAGUGAGAAUGUUGGCAUGAGUAGCGAGAUGUGGGUGAGAAUCCCACAGGCCGUAAACCCAAGGUUUCCAGGGGAAGGUUCGUCCGCCCUGGGUUAGUCCGGGACCUAAGCUGAGGCCGAAAGGCGUAGGUGAUGGACAACAGGUUGAUAUUCCUGUACUACCGAUAACCGUUUGAGAGAAGGGAUGACACAGUAGGAUAAGCUAAGCACACUGUUGGUUAUGUGUGCCCAAGCAUUGAGGCAGUCAAAGUAGGCAAAUCCGCUUUGAUAAUGCUGGGAUGUGAUGGGGAGCGAAAUUUAGUAGCGAAGUAGCUGAUUUCACACUGUCAAGAAAAGUCUCUAUCGAGGUUAAAGGUACCCGUACCGCAAACCGACACAGGUGGGUGAGGAGAGUAUCCUAAGGCCAGCGAGAGAACUGUUGUUAAGGAACUCGGCAAAAUGACCCCGUAACUUAGGGAUAAGGGGUGCCACCAUCAGGUGGCCGCAGAGAAUAGGCCCAAGCGACUGUUUACCAAAAACAUAGGUUUCUGCUAAGUCGCAAGACGAUGUAUAGGAGCUGACGCCUGCCCGGUGCUGGAAGGUUAAGGGGAUCUGUUAGAGCAAUCGAAGCAGUGAACUUAAGCCCCAGUAAACGGCGGCCGUAACUAUAACGGUCCUAAGGUAGCGAAAUUCCUUGUCGGGUAAGUUCCGACCCGCACGAAAGGCGUAACGAUUUGGGCACUGUCUCAACAACAGACUCGGUGAAAUUGUAAUUCCGGUGAAGAUGCCGGAUACCUGCGACAGGACGGAAAGACCCCAUGGAGCUUUACUGUAGCUUGACAUUGGGUCUUGGUACUACAUGUACAGGAUAGGUGGGAGGCUUUGAAACCAGGACGCCAGUUUUGGCGGAGCCAUCCUUGGGAUACCACCCUUGUAGUACUGGGACUCUAACCAUAGGCCAUGAAUCUGGUCUUGGGACACUGUCAGGUGGGCAGUUUGACUGGGGCGGUCGCCUCCCAAAAGGUAACGGAGGCGCUCAAAGGUUCUCUCAGUACGGUCGGAAAUCGUACGUAGAGUGUAAAGGCAAAAGAGAGCUUGAUUGCAAGACAUACAGGUCGAGCAAGGAUGAAAAUCGGACUUAGUGAUCCGGUGGUUCUGCGUGGAAGGGCCAUCGCUCAACGGAUAAAAGCUACCCUGGGGAUAACAGGCUUAUCUCCCCCAAGAGUCCACAUCGACGGGGAGGUUUGGCACCUCGAUGUCGGCUCAUCACAUCCUGGGGCUGUAGUAGGUCCCAAGGGUUGGGCUGUUCGCCCAUUAAAGUGGUACGCGAGCUGGGUUCAGAACGUCGUGAGACAGUUCGGUCCCUAUCCGUCGCAGGCGUAGGAAAUUUGAGAAGACCUGUCCUUAGUACGAGAGGACCGGGAUGGACGUACCUCUGGUGUACCAGUUGUCCUGCCAAGGGCAUGGCUGGG
Molecule: ribosomal RNA, 2724 nt
Filed under: Clostridium sp. HMSC19D07
Lineage: Bacteria; Bacillati; Bacillota; Clostridia; Eubacteriales; Clostridiaceae
Description: bacterial LSU rRNA
Rfam family: Bacterial large subunit ribosomal RNA
Source: RNAcentral